This 1372-nucleotide ribosomal RNA is filed under the name uncultured bacterium. RNAcentral's name for it is "bacterial SSU rRNA". It matches the Rfam family "Bacterial small subunit ribosomal RNA", at positions 28 to 1381 of the family's 1533-position model. The record is from RNAcentral.
GAUGAACGCUGGCGGCGUGCCUAAUACAUGCAAGUCGAGCGAACGGACGAGAAGCUUGCUUCUCUGAUGUUAGCGGCGGACGGGUGAGUAACACGUGGAUAACCUACCUAUAAGACUGGGAUAACUUCGGGAAACCGGAGCUAAUACCGGAUAAUAUUUUGAACCGCAUGGUUCAAAAGUGAAAGACGGUCUUGCUGUCACUUAUAGAUGGAUCCGCGCUGCAUUAGCUAGUUGGUAAGGUAACGGCUUACCAAGGCAACGAUGCAUAGCCGACCUGAGAGGGUGAUCGGCCACACUGGAACUGAGACACGGUCCAGACUCCUACGGGAGGCAGCAGUAGGGAAUCUUCCGCAAUGGGCGAAAGCCUGACGGAGCAACGCCGCGUGAGUGAUGAAGGUCUUCGGAUCGUAAAACUCUGUUAUUAGGGAAGAACAUAUGUGUAAGUAACUGUGCACAUCUUGACGGUACCUAAUCAGAAAGCCACGGCUAACUACGUGCCAGCAGCCGCGGUAAUACGUAGGUGGCAAGCGUUAUCCGGAAUUAUUGGGCGUAAAGCGCGCGUAGGCGGUUUUUUAAGUCUGAUGUGAAAGCCCACGGCUCAACCGUGGAGGGUCAUUGGAAACUGGAAAACUUGAGUGCAGAAGAGGAAAGUGGAAUUCCAUGUGUAGCGGUGAAAUGCUCAGAGAUAUGGAGGAACACCAGUGGCGAAGGCGACUUUCUGGUCUGUAACUGACGCUGAUGUGCGAAAGCGUGGGGAUCAAACAGGAUUAGAUACCCUGGUAGUCCACGCCGUAAACGAUGAGUGCUAAGUGUUAGGGGGUUUCCGCCCCUUAGUGCUGCAGCUAACGCAUUAAGCACUCCGCCUGGGGAGUACGACCGCAAGGUUGAAACUCAAAGGAAUUGACGGGGACCCGCACAAGCGGUGGAGCAUGUGGUUUAAUUCGAAGCAACGCGAAGAACCUUACCAAAUCUUGACAUCCUUUGACAACUCUAGAGAUAGAGCCUUCCCCUUCGGGGGACAAAGUGACAGGUGGUGCAUGGUUGUCGUCAGCUCGUGUCGUGAGAUGUUGGGUUAAGUCCCGCAACGAGCGCAACCCUUAAGCUUAGUUGCCAUCAUUAAGUUGGGCACUCUAAGUUGACUGCCGGUGACAAACCGGAGGAAGGUGGGGAUGGCGUCAAAUCAUCAUGCCCCUUAUGAUUUGGGCUACACACGUGCUACAAUGGACAAUACAAAGGGCAGCGAAACCGCGAGGUCAAGCAAAUCCCAUAAAGUUGUUCUCAGUUCGGAUUGUAGUCUGCAACUCGACUACAUGAAGCUGGAAUCGCUAGUAAUCGUAGAUCAGCAUGCUACGGUGAAUACGUUCCCGGGUCU